Molecule: ribosomal RNA, 447 nt
Filed under: uncultured bacterium
Lineage: Bacteria
Description: SSU rRNA
Rfam family: Bacterial small subunit ribosomal RNA
Source: RNAcentral
AGAGCGAACGCUGGCGGCAGGCCUAACACAUGCAAGUCGAGCGCCCGUAGCAAUACGGGAGCGGCAGACGGGAUAGUAACACGUGGGAACGCGCCCUUCGGUUCGGAAUAACUCAGGGAAACUUGAGCUAAUACCGGAUACGCCCUUACGGGGAAAGAUUUAUUGCCGAAGGAACGGCCCGCGCCCGAUUAGCUAGUUGGUGAGGUAAUGGCUCACCAAGGCGACGAUCGGUAGCUGGUCUGAGAGGAUGACCAGCAUCACUGGGACUGAGACACGGCCCAGACUCCUACGGGAGGCAGCAGUGGGGAAUAUUGGACAAUGGGCGCAAGCCUGAUCCAGCCAUGCCGCGUGGAUGAUGAAGGCCUUAGGGUUGUAAAGUCCUUUUAACGGGGAAGAUAAUGACGGUACCGUAGAAUAAGCCCCGGCUAACUUCGUGCCAGCAGCCGC